GAUGAACGCUAGCUACAGGCUUAACACAUGCAAGUCGCGGGGCAGCAUGGGGGUUGCUUGCCAUCCCCGAUGGCGACCGGCGCACGGGUGAGUAACGCGUAUUCAACCUGCCCUUCACCACGGGAUAACCCGGCGAAAGUCGGACUAAUACCGUAUGUUGUCCAUUGACGGCCUCCGAUUUGGACGAAAGGCUUGGCGGUGAGGGAUGGGGUUGCGUCCGAUUAGCCUGACGGCGGGGUAACGGCCCACCGUGGCUACGAUCGGUAGGGGUUCUGAGAGGAAGGUCCCCCACACUGGAACUGAGACACGGUCCAGACUCCUACGGGAGGCAGCAGUGAGGAAUAGUGGUCAAUGGGCGUAAGCCUGAACCAGCCAAGUAGCGUGCAGGAGGACGGCCCUAGGGGUUGUAAACUGCUUUUAUGCGGGGAUAAAGUGGCCCACGUGUGGGCUUUUGCAGGUACCGCAUGAAUAAGGACCGGCUAAUUCCGUG
RNAcentral lists this ribosomal RNA (490 nucleotides) under uncultured bacterium. Its description in RNAcentral is "partial 16S ribosomal RNA". It matches the Rfam family "Bacterial small subunit ribosomal RNA", at positions 28 to 507 of the family's 1533-position model. The record is from RNAcentral.